RNAcentral lists this ribosomal RNA (387 nucleotides) under Mucilaginibacter rubeus. RNAcentral's name for it is "bacterial LSU rRNA". It matches the Rfam family "Bacterial large subunit ribosomal RNA", at positions 1 to 405 of the family's 2925-position model. Lineage: Bacteria; Pseudomonadati; Bacteroidota; Sphingobacteriia; Sphingobacteriales; Sphingobacteriaceae. The record is from RNAcentral.
UAGAAGAAAGUAAGAAAGGGUACACGGGGGAUGCCUUGGCUCUCAGAGGCGAAGAAGGACGUGAUAAGCUGCGAUAAGCUGCGGGGAUUAGCAAAUAUGAAUUAAUCCGCAGAUUUCCGAAUGGGGAAACCUAGUUAUUUGAAGAAUAACUGCAUAAAUGCGCUAACCUGCCGAACUGAAACAUCUAAGUAAGCAGAGGAAGAGAAAACAAUAGUGAUUUCCAGAGUAGUGGCGAGCGAAAUGGAAGAAGCCCAAACCUGUUAUGUUACGGCAUAGCAGGGGUUGUAGGACCACAACAUGAAUAUUAAAUAGAACCGGAACGGGGUGGGAAACCCGGCCAUAGAGCAUGAGAGCUGCGUACGGGUAAUAGAUAAUAGGAUAGUGGUA